CCUACGGGAGGCUGCAGUGAGGAAUAUUGGUCAAUGUGCGAGAGCCUGAACCAACCAAGUCGCGUGAGGGAAGACGGUCCUAUGGAUUGUAAACCUCUUUUGUCGGGGAGCAAAAAGGCCUCGUGAGGCCACAAGUGAGAGUACCCGAAGAAAAAGCAUCGGCUAACUCCGUGCCAGCAGCCGCGGUAAUACGGAGGAUGCGAGCGUUAUCCGGAUUUAUUGGGUUUAAAGGUGGCGUAGGCGGGCUUUUAAGUCAGCGGUAAAAAUUCGGGGCUCAACCCCGUCCGGCCGUUGAAACUGGGGGCAUUGAGUGGGCGAGAAGAAGGCGGAAUGCGUGGUGUAGCGGUGAAAUGCAUAGAUAUCACGCAGAACCCCGAUUGCGAAGGCAGCCUUCCGGCGCCCUACUGACGCUGAGGCACGAAAGUGCGGGGAUCGAACAGGAUUAGAUACCCCAGUAGUC
This 460-nucleotide ribosomal RNA is filed under the name uncultured bacterium. RNAcentral describes it as "partial 16S ribosomal RNA". It matches the Rfam family "Bacterial small subunit ribosomal RNA", at positions 338 to 795 of the family's 1533-position model. The record is from RNAcentral.